UGCCAGCAGCCGCGGUAAGACGGAGGAUGCAAGUGUUAUCCGGAAUUACUGGGCGUAAAGCGCACGUAGGCGGAUUAGAAAGUUAGGGGUGAAAUCCCAGGGCUCAACCCUGGAACUGCCUCUAAAACUACUAGCCUAGAGUUCGAGAGAGGUGAGUGGAAUUCCGAGUGUAGAGGUGAAAUUCGUAGAUAUUCGGAGGAACACCAGUGGCGAAGGCGGCUCACUGGCUCGAUACUGACGCUGAGGUGCGAAGGCGUGGGGAGCAAACAGGAUUAGAUA
Molecule: ribosomal RNA, 279 nt
Filed under: uncultured bacterium
Lineage: Bacteria
Description: partial 16S ribosomal RNA
Rfam family: Bacterial small subunit ribosomal RNA
Source: RNAcentral